CAGACUGGUCUCUAACUCCUGAGCUCAGGCAAUCUGCCCGCCUCAGCCUCCCAAAGUGCUAGGAUUUCAGGCUUGAGCCACUGUGACCGGCCCAAACUCCAAUUUUGUAUUGUGGGAUUCAAGAGAAAAAAUUGCUAUAAAGAGUCUGAAUGCCUGUGCUUGGUCUCUGCACGGACCUUGUCCCUGGCUGGUCACAACCCUAACAGUAGGUUGUGACCAGCAUUUGAAAAACAUGAAGUAGAAUAGAAUAGAAAACAGAGUGCUUUGCGUGUUGUAGGGGGAAGUGUAGUUUUGCAAAACGUUCAUUUCGAGUUUCUGCACACCCAUGUGUGUUGGCACUGCGUUCGAGGUGGAAUGCAUUACCGUGGGUGAUAGAUGGGUGCCCUCCCAUGGUGCUGUAGGGGCUGAAUUUCCUCUCUGGCUCUGCUGUCCCCAUCCCAGCUCCAUUGCCCUCUAUCUAGAGUCUGUUUCUUCGUCUCCUCCUCUGCCCAUCUCUGUCCCUCUCCUGGUUCCAUAGCAAUGGUCCUGCUCAGUAAACCUUGGCCCUUCCACUUUCCUGAUUCUUUUUUCUAGACAGUCUUCCUUCUCCCUUGCCUUUGACAGAAGCUCUCUUCCUCCUGGGUCCUAUGUAAUCAGGCCCCAACCACUAUGCUUAGCCCAGGGCAGCCUGAGACACAGAAGAGGGGGUCCCUGCCCUUGAGAAGGGAGUGGCAGUGCUGGGGAGUCAAAGAUGUACUGGGGAGUCAGGGAAUGGAAUGUAUAAUGCAAGGAAAUAUGUGAUAGGAACUGAACCAGGAGCCUGGCCAAAGGCCCUUCCUUCCAAGCUGGUGAGGAGAAGACCUGGUGCUCAAUGGAGGUCCACAGUUGGCAGACCACAUGACCCCAUCCAGGGCUCCCACUUGGUUGGUGCCUCCUCUUUUGGGGUUCUGCUGAUACCCAGCUCCCACUCUAUGGACAUACUAACAUCAGUUUAAUCAAUUCUCUAUAAAUAAACCUCUGGGUUGCUUCCACUGUUUUUGGAAUCAUGAAUAAACAAUGCUGUAAUGAACAUCUCUGUAUCUCUCCCUCACCACACCUGAGCUACUGAUUCCCAGAGGUACCCUCACUCCAGCUCUUGUUUCUUACAUCUUUACACACACACACAAUCCAAAUUCCUCCUGCUUCUCUCAGCACCCAGCUGGCCUGGUCUCGUGUCAUGAGGCUAAACAUGAGCUGGAGGUUUGGAAAUGUCAUCUUCUUCCUCAGGCCAUGCACCCUCCUUGCUCACAACUACUCAUUUGGUUUCUUCAUCCAUACUUGCCAAAUAUCUAGCUGUAUCAUCAGGGCCCUUUGACUGCAAGUAACAGAAACCCUGAUUCAAAAUGGUUUUGACAAUACAGGAAGUUUUCAUUUCCUAAAAAACGUCCCGAUCCAGGAAGGGUGCCUGAGUGGACCGAUCACAUAACCAAGGAUCCAGGUUCUGUCUGUUUUUCUGCGCUGCUAUCCUCAGCGUGUUGAUUUGCUCCUCAGGUGCUAUAGCGCCCUUCAUGGUUACAAGGUGGCUGCUGAAGGUCCAGACCUCGCAUCCAGACAUAAUAUGCCUGGAGGUUGAAGAGGGGCCGUAUCUUUCUGAAGGUCUAUUUUUCAAAUAAGGAGAACUUUUCCCUGGAGUGCCUCUAGCAGUCUUACUCUUGAGUUCUCAUCAGUUGACAUUAGGCCACAUACCCAUUCCUUUAGAGAGAAUGAGGCUUCGCUGAUUGGUUGGUGAGGCACGGGGCCUUACUGUGAAGGAGGCAGAGAGGGUUGGGUUUUAAAGGAGGAAAGGGGUGUGGGGACAGAGGCUGACUAGACAACCAACCACGAGGACCAAAGUGUCCCCGGUGGAGAGGACUCUGCUUCUGUGUCGCUCAAGCAGCUGGGCCUGUGAUCCUACUCUGGAGAUUUAGUUUGACUCUGAUUCAGUUAGAAAAUAUUUGUUGAGAAGAUGGAACUCCUGAGGGAGUUUAUUGUAAUGCGAGAGAGUGAGAGUGGGGUUAGGGUACAGGACUGGGAGAGAAGGCGGAAGCUGCGAAGCUGCAGACAGGAGGUCUGAGCACUCCAGCCCUUCUCUCUGAGGGAAGGAGUUAGGAGGGACUCAGUGAGUCCCUUUUUGGGCUGGGUUGGACACAGGGGACUGAUUGACUGAGGUAACCUUUGAGGUAAGAGGUCUGGGUGGGAGGGCACCUAUCCCAGGCCAAGGUCCCCUAACUUUUCUCCUGACCCUCAGGUGGGUCUUGUCCUUGCCCCUGAGCCACAGAAGGACAGGAAGAAGAGAAGGAGGGCUGUGAGUCAAGAGCCUACCUGGGGGCAAAGAAAAACACAGGAAGUGACUCAAGGCCUGUAGGGUGGCCAGGUGGCCAGCAAUGCCCCAGGAUGGACCCUGAGGGAGUUGGCUGAGGGAAAGGGUCCCCUCCCCAGAGGCUGCCGGUGCAUGCCAUCCUGGCUAUUUCUGCCAACCAUGUUUCCCACAAAUCCUUCCCCUCCUCACCACAGGAGGCUGGCUGCCCACUCACCCACAAAUCCCACUGCCAGCUGUUGUAAUUCCUGGCUCUGGUCCACCCCCUGCAUCCGGGAGGCUCAGCACCUCUGACCCCAGAGGGUGGGUCAACCCCUUCCCCUGCCUCUGUCCCUGGCCUUCACACCCUGAAGGAAGAGAUUCCAGAGCCACUAGAGGGUGGGGGUCUUCUGAGCCAAGCAGUGGUCCCUGUGUGCAUGCACAGCAAGGUGGAGGAUCUGGGUCCAGGCAGAGUGACAGGAUGUGAAGGUAGAGGGAGACCCACGAACCGCUGGAUCCCUUCUGUGUGCACUGUCAGAGAGGCCUUUGUCCUGCCCACUGGAAGCCAGGACCCCACCCUUGAGGCACUGAAAUGUCUAAUCCAUGUCUGGAAACAGAUUGAUGGUUCCCGAAAAUCCAGUGGGUCUCCCCCAUUUGAGCGAUCCCUAAAGGCAGGGGUCAUGUCUCUCCCCUUACACUGGGAGUUUCCUGAAGCCAGACGCUGAGUUUCACCCUAAAGAAGGCAGCUGAGAGCACUAUAUGUGGCCCCAUCAGACUGAGAGCUUCCUGAGGACAGGGGCUAAAUUUCACCCAUGAGAGUAACACUUCAAGAAACACUCUCUCUUCCUGCUUUGAGGACAGCUGAAGUCUCGCCACUUCUUCUGGAUGCUCUGACCAUCAAUGAGAGUCUGUAUCCACCAGCUACUCUUCCAGAUUCAUGAGGCAAAGCCUGCCUGCUCACCUGGAUGGCCCCAAGCACCUCUUCAACCUGCUGCCACCGUCCUGCCUCGCUGCCCUUCUCAGCUCAUCCAGCAGGGUCUCCAAGUCAUGGAAAAAGAAGCGUGUAUACACACGUGCUCAUAUACACAUGCCCACAGCCGCAUAAGCACACCCAGAAACACCAUCGCAGACAUGUUCUCACAAGCACAUGCACACAACACACUCACUACCCCUCACUUGUAUACACAUGAAUACACACACACACUCAUGCGCACUCACAGUCUUACACACACACACACACACACAGAGUUAUAAUCACUGCUGUUGGAUGAAUUGUGCCCCCCACCCCCGUGCUAAAAAGAUAUGUUAGAGUCCUAACCUCCAGUACCUGGGGAUGUGACCGUAGUUGGAAAUAGAGUGUUUGUAGAUGUAAUCAAAUUAAGAUGAGCUCUUACUGGAUUAGAGUGGGACCUAAAUCCAGUGACUGGUGUCCUUAUAAGGAGAAAAAGAUUUGAAAACAGAGACAUGGAGACACAGAGCGGAAGGCCAUGUGAUGAUGGAGUCAGAGAUUGGAGUGAUGCAGCUGCAAGCCAAGAAAUACCGAGGUGCUGGAAGCCCCCAGAAAUAAGGAGAGAGGCAUGGAACAAUCUCCAUCAGAGCCUCCGGAAGAAACAGACUCUGCCAACACCUUGAUUGCAGACUUUUGGCCCCCUUCACUGUGCGAGAAUACAUUUCUAUUGUUUUAAACUA
Molecule: long non-coding RNA, 3982 nt
Organism: Chlorocebus sabaeus (green monkey)
Lineage: Eukaryota; Metazoa; Chordata; Mammalia; Primates; Cercopithecidae
Source: RefSeq, a predicted model, not a curated record